RNAcentral lists this long non-coding RNA (691 nucleotides) under Numida meleagris (helmeted guineafowl). RNAcentral's name for it is "lncRNA (ENSNMEG00000019323.1)". The record is from RNAcentral. Lineage: Eukaryota; Metazoa; Chordata; Aves; Galliformes; Numididae.
CUCUUUUUGAGAUGGCUUGAAAGUGAUCUUGCAAGAGGUCCCAUACUCUGAGUUAGAGGAAACAGAAAAAGGCAAGAAUAGCUUUUAUUUUUGUCUGCAAUUCCAGAAUGAAGAGCAAGAAGGAAACAGAUGCAGUUUUAGGGCCUGUUCAGUUUGUUCCAUUCUUCAGCACUGUGUACUUCAUAUUUACAGAACUCCUGCAUAUUAGUGUGUUGUUGAGCUUUUCAUUGAGGAUGGGUCUCUUGACUUAUACCGUGCUGUUCAAUAAACUGAACUGCUUGAAUGAAAGAAAGUAAAGAGGAAAAUGGUGACCACAGCUCAGCCUGGAAUCUCAGGUCUCUCUGCAGAGAGAGAGGUCGCUACUCAGGGAGGCACUUUCCUCCUUGGAAACAAGAAAAGAAAUCCCCGGGAAGGAGGAGAAAAUGCAUCUGGGUAACAGGAGGGGAUCUUGUCAAUCUUCAAGUCACUAGAAAAUGAUCAUGAAAGUCUUUUGUUAGAGAAGCCUAUAAUGCCAGGAGUAUGUUUUCUUUACCUAAUGUGCAUGUAUAGCAUCCACUUUAUUAGUUCUCAAGCUCACAGUACGUAAUGAGGGACCACAGAUGAGAAAACCGCCCUUGACAGUGGCUGUCUACUCUGCAAAGCAGCAUUGUUUCUAAACGCCUGAAUAAAAGCAUGUUAACAGCAGGAGUCA